UAACUGUCCAGUGUUUCAGGUCUCUAUGUAGUGGAGGAGGACUAACUGUCCAGUGUUUCAGGUCUAGUGGAGGGGGACUAACUGUCCAGUGUUUCAGGUCUCUAUGUAGUGGAGGAGGACUAACUGUCCAGUGUUUCAGGUCUCUAUGUAGUGGAGGAGGACUAACUGUCCAGUGUUUCAGGUCUCUAUGUAGUGGAGGAGGACUAACUGUCCAGUGUUUCAGGUCUCUAUGUAGUGGAGGGGGACUAACUGUCCAGUGUUUCAGGUCUCUAUGUAGUGGAGGGGGACUAACUGUCCAGUGUUUCAGGUCUCUAUGUAGUGGAGGAGGACUAACUGUCCAGUGUUUCAGGUCUCUAUGUAGUGGAGGGGGACUAACUGUCCAGUGUUUCAGGUCUCUAUGUAGUGGAGGAGGACUAACUGUCCAGUGUUUCAGGUCUCUAUGUAGUGGAGGGGGACUAACUGUCCAGUGUUUCAGGUCUCUAUGUAGUGGAGGAGGACUAACUGUCCAGUGUUUCAGGUCUCUAUGUAGUGGAGGAGGACUAACUGUCCAGUGUUUCAGGUCUCUAUGUAGUGGAGGGGGACUAACUGUCCAGUGUUUCAGGUCUCUAUGUAGUGGAGGAGGACUAACUGUCCAGUGUUUCAGGUCUCUAUGUAGUGGAGGGGGACUAACUGUCCAGUGUUUCAGGUCUCUAUGUAGUGGAGGAGGACUAACUGUCCAGUGUUUCAGGUCUCUAUGUAGUGGAGG
Long non-coding RNA from Oncorhynchus keta (chum salmon), 745 nucleotides. RefSeq lists it as uncharacterized. Lineage: Eukaryota; Metazoa; Chordata; Actinopteri; Salmoniformes; Salmonidae. The record is from RefSeq and is a predicted model, not a curated record. The transcript is spliced from 4 exons.